GUUACCAUGGCGCAGGAGGUGCGUUCCUGUUCCAAACGGCGUCUCAGGGACGUAUGUUGUGGGUUCGACUCCCACUGGGCAACU
Non-coding RNA from Favolaschia claudopus, 84 nucleotides. The record is from the annotation of a GenBank genome assembly. Lineage: Eukaryota; Fungi; Basidiomycota; Agaricomycetes; Agaricales; Mycenaceae.